Molecule: long non-coding RNA, 824 nt
Filed under: Brachypodium distachyon (stiff brome)
Lineage: Eukaryota; Viridiplantae; Streptophyta; Magnoliopsida; Poales; Poaceae
Description: long non-coding RNA (BDIS_LNC000158)
Source: RNAcentral
CUCUUUCUUGUUGAUUUGGAUUACUAGUUCUAUUAUUCAUGCCGUGAAAUUAGAUGAGUUUUAUUGCUGUGCGUUGCUAUUUAAUUUGUCUAGUUUGCAUGAUAUAAUGUGCUACAUGUUUUACACACUGUCUUUCUGGAUUAAAUAUUCAUCGAAAUUACCUAAUUUUUCAACACUAUGUGUGCAGCAGCGUUUGCCUCUCUUCUCAAUUUCUGCCGGAGGUCUCUUCGAUGGAUUUUAUGCUGUGGAUGGAUCGCAGCAGCGGUCUGACUCUCAUCGAUGCUCCCGGAUGAGCCUUGGGGCUGAUGUCCUAUUUAUUGAUCGAGUAAGGAGAUAGCAGCACGUACAGGAGGUUGUUACGGUAAUGCCUGUUCUCUUUAUUUGAUUUUUCUUUUCUUUGGCUGAGUGGGCGAUAGCUUAACUGCCUCAUGUCAAUUUCGUGGGCGGCCGUGGGAGCUGGCCGUUGCAAACUUGAAGCAGGCUCCAAGUUUCCUAGCGAUGGACACCGGGUCACAUGUGCUAGCAUUUGGGCCAUGAUCUCCUUUUAAUUAUGUUAAUGAUUUUCUUUUCUUUUUGUCUUAUUGCUGCUUUGACUUUCGAUUCUAUUGCCAGCAGUUGAUGCACGCUUUUUUUUUAAAACAACGAGCUGGCUUUAUUUAUUCAACAAACUUAUUACAAUUGAUCGGGAACUAAACUGACAAUAAAGAUUUCGGAUAAACCGAAAGUGGCAUAAAAAAUCUUUGAAGCCAACUUUUCUGGCUGCGCCAAUCGCAUCUUGAUAUAUCUCCAAAUUUCUGGUGACGAAACAGUAGAAGACCAAACCU